This 463-nucleotide ribosomal RNA is filed under the name uncultured bacterium. RNAcentral describes it as "partial 16S ribosomal RNA". It matches the Rfam family "Bacterial small subunit ribosomal RNA", at positions 28 to 506 of the family's 1533-position model. The record is from RNAcentral.
GACGAACGCUGGCGGCGUGCUUAACACAUGCAAGUCGAACGAUGAAGCCAGCUUGCUGGUGGAUUAGUGGCGCACGGGUGAGUAACACGUGGGUGAUCUGCCCCAAACUUUGGGAUAAGCCUGGGAAACUGGGUCUAAUACCGAAUAUGACCGAUACUCGCAUGGGUGUUGGUGGAAAGCUCCGGCGGUUUGGGAUGGGCCCGCGGCCUAUCAGCUUGUUGGUGGGGUAAUGGCCUACCAAGGCGACGACGGGUAGCCGGCCUGAGAGGGCGACCGGCCACACUGGGACGGGGACACGGCCCAGACUCCUAUGGGAGGCAGCAGUGGGGAAUAUUGCACAAUGGGCGCAAGCCUGAUGCAGCGACGCCGCGUGAGGGAUGACGGCCUUCGGGUUGUAAACCUCUUUCACCAGGGACGAAGCGAAAGGGACGGUACCUGGAGAAGAAACACCGGCCAACUACGU